RNAcentral lists this unclassified non-coding RNA (325 nucleotides) under uncultured Ascomycota. RNAcentral describes it as "sequence contains ITS1". The stretch from base 1 to 105 matches the Rfam family "5.8S ribosomal RNA", at positions 50 to 154 of the family's 154-position model. Lineage: Eukaryota; Fungi; Ascomycota. The record is from RNAcentral.
GAAAUGCGAUAAUUAAUGUGAAUUGCAGAAUUCAGUGAAUCAUCGAAUCUUUGAACGCACAUUGCGCCCAUUGGUAUUCCGAUGGGCAUGCCUGUUCGAGCGUCAUUAUCCUCCCUCAAACCUCGGGUUUGGUGUUGGGCCGCGUGGGUUGCCCCUCAAGGUGACCAACUAGCCUCAAAGACAAUGGCGGCGUCCGUGGGACCCUCGGUGCAACGAGCUUCUAAGGAGCACGCGUCGAGUUUCAAGGACCUUCCGGGCCGGUCUUCAUUUUCAAAUCAUCACAAAGGUUGACCUCGGAUCAGGUAGGAAUACCCGCUGAACUUAA